Non-coding RNA from Sus scrofa (pig), 1346 nucleotides. The record is from RefSeq and is a predicted model, not a curated record. NCBI's taxonomy places the organism in Eukaryota, Metazoa, Chordata, Mammalia, Artiodactyla, Suidae.
CCUCACCACCAUCAGUGUGGUUUCCGGGCCAUAAUUUGAAACACGGUGUUCUUGGAUCUAUGUAAUGAUGUACCCAUUAGAACUCCUUGAAAUAACUCAGAAGGCCGUGACUACGAUCAUGUGAUCUCCUGACUCCAGCUUCAAUGACAGACAGAUGCCGAGUUUCAGCGACAGCUAGAAUGCUCAGGAAAAGUGGGCUCUGCGUUUUGAAUCCUAGCAUCGGGAUCUUAGGUAAGUUACUUGUUUGUGUCUCGGUUUCUUCAUCUGUGAAAUGGAGGGAAUAGCGCCCACUUCUAGGAUUAUUAUGAAGGUCAAGUGAGUUCAAACAAGUAGUGUCUCCAUUAGCUUCUAGUCCCUGGUAGCUACUCAAAAAACACUGUUUCAAUGGACUGAAACUCUCCAAGGUUUAGUCUGAUGUCAUUUGCGCAAAGAAUGAAUUGCUCCUCCUUCUGGGCGUGUGGGCAAAUCUGAUAUAGAAUUUAUUUCCUUCCCUAGUGAUGGAAAUUCCACAAACACAUCCCCAUGCCUGAUAGAACACCCAGGUCCCAGGAGAUGCGCCAUAAAUGUGAAUUGUCUGGGUCGGUGCUGAGGGCAGCUGAGACUUCUCAGGCUUCUCUACCGUGGCUGCAAAUGUCAGGAUGAACUAAAUUAUGCUGUGAUAAUGAACAGCCCCCCCAAAUCUCAGCAGCCUCAAACAUGAAAGGUUUAUUUCUCAGUCACACUGGCUGCAUCCCUUCCCUUGGAAGGCGUCUCAGGGACGUGCAGGAGCAAAAACACCCUGCUGCACAGACAUACUCCUGGAAAAGGGUCCUGGUCAGACUAUUGGGAAAAACAUGCCUGAAUGGUGAGGCCAAGCAGCAUCUGUCCCCCUUGCUGGUCACACUCCACCUUUCCUUCGCUGUUCAUGCCUCCAAGCCAGCUGGGUUGGGAGGAUCUGGGGCAGCUGGAGGAGAAGUACGUGGCACGAAGGCCAGCACAGACGGCUGCAUCUUCACCCCAGCCAGCAUGCAUCACUGUCCUCGGGGCACUCUGGCUAACCAGCCAUGGCCAGAGAAAAAUGAGAUUGGAAAAGGGGCCUCAGGUGUACAGUCUAGAGAGGAAGACUUUUCCAAUGGCGCCUGUGACCAAAGUCCAGGCUCCACGUUCUUCAAAACAAUCACUCCAAAAGCUGGACAAAGGGGAUCAAGUCUUCUGUGCUUAUUUGGAGCCCACAGCCACCAGACACUUUUGGUGUCUAAAAUCUACGUUUAUUUUCACCGUCUACAGGUGAAUCACAGAUGACCCUGCUGACAAGGAUGCUGGGCUACUGUGCCUUUUCCUUUCUUCCCUCUUUCUCUCUCUUUCUC